Molecule: ribosomal RNA, 253 nt
Filed under: uncultured bacterium
Lineage: Bacteria
Description: partial 16S ribosomal RNA
Rfam family: Bacterial small subunit ribosomal RNA
Source: RNAcentral
UACGGGGGAUGCAAGCGUUAUCCGGAUUUAUUGGGUUUAAAGGGUGCGUAGGCGGUUUGAUAAGUCAGCGGUGAAAUAUUUCAGCUUAACUGGAAGGGUGCCGUUGAUACUGUCAGGCUUGAAUAUGGUUGCUGUGGGUGGAAUGUGUGGUGUAGCGGUGAAAUGCUUAGAGAUCACACAGAAUAUCGAUUGCGAAGGCAGCUCACAAAGCCAUUAUUGACGCUGAUGCACGAAAGUGUGGGGAUCAAACAGG